This 610-nucleotide long non-coding RNA is filed under the name Brassica napus (rape). RNAcentral's name for it is "long non-coding RNA (BNAP_LNC004193)". The record is from RNAcentral. Lineage: Eukaryota; Viridiplantae; Streptophyta; Magnoliopsida; Brassicales; Brassicaceae.
CUAACAUUGUCAAACAUUUGAAUGAAACUAAUUUUAUAUUACGAGCAAUCAUACAAAAUGGCAUAGAAGAGAAAUAUCAAAUUUGAAGACAUGACAUAUAAACCUUAAACCCUAAACUCUAGUUUGAAAAGAAAAUUACUAAACCCUAAACCCUAAUCACUAAACCAUAAACACAAAUAUAAACCCUAAACCCUAAUCACUAAACCCUAAACCCGUAUAUAGACCCUAAACACUAAUCACUAAACCCUAAACCCAAAUAUAAACCCUAAACCCUAAUCACUAGACCUUAAACACAUAUAUAAACCCUACACACUAAUCACUAAACCCUAAACACUAAACCCUAAUCGCUAAAACCCUAAACCCAAAUAUAAACCCUAAAUCCUAAUCAUUAAACCCUAAACCCAAAUAUAAACCCUAAUCACUAAACCCUAAACCCAAAUAUAAACCCUAAACCCUAAUCACUAAACUCUAAACCCAAAUAUAAACCCUAAAAACUAAACUCUACUCACCCACUUAAAUACUAAAACCCUAGACAAACCCCUAGUUACUAAAUCUAAACCCAAAUAACUAAAGUAUAAACCCAAACAAUCUAUAUAAUAUGUUGUCAAUU